UGCAGUCGAGCGGUAACAUUUCUAGCUUGCUAGAAGAUGACGAGCGGCGGACGGGUGAGUAAUGCUUGGGAAUAUGCCUUAUGGUGGGGGACAACAGUUGGAAACGACUGCUAAUACCGCAUAAUGUCUACGGACCAAAGGGGGGGAUCUUCGGACCUCUCGCCAUUUGAUUAGCCCAAGUGAGAUUAGCUAGUUGGUGAGGUAAUGGCUCACCAAGGCGACGAUCUCUAGCUGGUUUGAGAGGAUGAUCAGCCACACUGGGACUGAGACACGGCCCAGACUCCUACGGGAGGCAGCAGUGGGGAAUAUUGCACAAUGGGCGCAAGCCUGAUGCAGCCAUGCCGCGUGUGUGAAGAAGGCCUUCGGGUUGUAAAGCACUUUCAGUAAGGAGGAAAGGGAUGUGGUUAAUAACUGCAUUCUGUGACGUUACUUACAGAAGAAGCACCGGCUAACUUCGUGCCAGCAGCCGCGGUAAUACGAGGGGUGCAAGCGUUAAUCGGAAUUACUGGGCGUAAAGCGUUCGUAGGCGGUUGAUUAAGCAAGAUGUGAAAGCCCAGGGCUCAACCUUGGAACUGCAUUUUGAACUGGUCAACUAGAGUACUGUAGAGGGUGGUGGAAUUUCCAGUGUA
Molecule: ribosomal RNA, 629 nt
Filed under: uncultured bacterium
Lineage: Bacteria
Description: bacterial SSU rRNA
Rfam family: Bacterial small subunit ribosomal RNA
Source: RNAcentral